CGUAGGGUGCAAGCGUUAUCCGGAAUUAUUGGGCGUAAAGAGCUCGUAGGCGGUCUGUCGCGUCUGCUGUGAAAACUGGGGGCUCAACCCCCAGCCUGCAGUGGGUACGGGCAGACUAGAGUGCGGUAGGGGAGAUUGGAAUUCCUGGUGUAGCGGUGGAAUGCGCAGAUAUCAGGAGGAACACCGAUGGCGAAGGCAGAUCUCUGGGCCGUAACUGACGCUGAGGAGCGAAAGCAUGGGGAGCGAACAGGAUUAGAUACCCUGGUAGUCCAUGCCGUAAACGUUGGGAACUAGAUGUAGGGACCAUUCCACGGUUUCUGUGUCGCAGCUAACGCAUUAAGUUCCCCGCCUGGGGAGUACGGCCGCAAGGCUA
This 373-nucleotide ribosomal RNA is filed under the name uncultured organism. Its description in RNAcentral is "bacterial SSU rRNA". It matches the Rfam family "Bacterial small subunit ribosomal RNA", at positions 526 to 896 of the family's 1533-position model. The record is from RNAcentral.